Molecule: ribosomal RNA, 608 nt
Filed under: uncultured Verrucomicrobiota bacterium
Lineage: Bacteria; Pseudomonadati; Verrucomicrobiota
Description: bacterial SSU rRNA
Rfam family: Bacterial small subunit ribosomal RNA
Source: RNAcentral
ACUUAGCUUGCUUUGAAAGUUUCUAGUGGCGAACGGGUGAGUAACACGUGAGUUACCUGCCUCGAAGUGGGAGAUAGCCCGGGGAAACUCGGAUUAAUACCCCAUGUGAUCGUAAGAUUAAAGGCGGCUUCCGCUGUCGCUUCGAGAUGCGGCUCGCGGCCUAUCAGUUAGUUGGUGAGGUAAAAGCUCACCAAGACGAUGACGGGUAGCUGGUCUGAGAGGACNACCAGUCACACUGGAACUGAGACACGGUCCAGACACCUACGGGUGGCAGCAGUCNAGAAUCAUUCGCAAUGGACNAAAGUCUGACGGUGCGACGCCGCGUGGAGGAUGAAGGCCCUAGGGUCGUAAACUCCUGUCAUCAGGGAGUAAUUACUUAUGUAGUAACUGACAUAGGUCUUGAUAGUACCUGAAGAGGAAGGGACGGCAAACUUCGUGCCAGCAGCCGCGGUAAUACGAAGGUCCCAAGCGUUGUUCGGAUUUACUGGGCGUANAGCGUCUGUAGGGCGGGAUGGUAAGUCAGAUGUGAAAUCCCGGGGCUCAACCCCGGAACUGCAUCCGAUACUGCCAACCUAGAGGGUCGGAGGGGAGUCUGGAAUUCUCGGUGU